AUGGACCCGGCGCUUGUCACUUUCCGGGAACAACUAGAAUCUGGUGAGUUAGGACAGCCUUGGGCUCUCGUUGAUGGUGCUGUUACCUUCCAACAGCGGGCUUAUGUGCCACCCGCGUCACCACUGCUCGGGGAGGUCCUGGCGGCAGCCCAUGAUGCGGGCCAUGAAGGUAUCCAGAAGUCACUUCAUCGUCUUCGCCGGGAUUUCCAUCUGCCGCAAGCAAGGGCAGCACUUCAGCAGUAUAUUCGUGCUUGUCAGGUUUGUCAAUGCAACAAGACGGAGCAGCUUCAUCCAGCCGGCUUAUUGCAGCCCUUGACAGUGCCCUCUCGUGUUUGGGAAGACAUCUCCAUGGAUUUCAUUGAGGCACUUCCGAAGGUGGGCGGCAAAAGUGUGAUACGACUGUUGUGGACCGUUUCUCCAAGUAUGCGCAUUUCAUCCCCUCGGCGCAUCCGUACAUUGCGGAGUCUGUUGCUAAAGCCUUCUUCUCCAACAUUGUCUGACUUCAUGGGUUUCCCACAUCCAUCGUUUCGGACAGGGAUGUGGUUUUCACUUCUGGCUUUUGGAAGGCUCUGUUUGCCGCCGCAGGGACACACUUGCACAUGA
RNAcentral lists this ribosomal RNA (603 nucleotides) under Triticum aestivum (bread wheat). Its description in RNAcentral is "partial small subunit ribosomal RNA". Lineage: Eukaryota; Viridiplantae; Streptophyta; Magnoliopsida; Poales; Poaceae. The record is from RNAcentral.